Molecule: ribosomal RNA, 386 nt
Filed under: uncultured bacterium
Lineage: Bacteria
Description: bacterial SSU rRNA
Rfam family: Bacterial small subunit ribosomal RNA
Source: RNAcentral
AACGAACGCUGGCGGCAUGCCUAACACAUGCAAGUCGAACGAGACCUUCGGGUCUAGUGGCGCACGGGUGCGUAACGCGUGGGAAUCUGCCCUCUGGUACGGAAUAACUCAGGGAAACUUGAGCUAAUACCGUAUAAUGACUUCGGUCCAAAGAUUUAUCGCCUGAGGAUGAGCCCGCGUAGGAUUAGCUAGUUGGUGAGGUAAAGACUCACCAAGGCGACGAUCUUUAGCUGGUCUGAGAGGAUGAUCAGCCACACUGGGACUGAGACACGGCCCAGACUCCUACGGGAGGCAGCAGUGGGGAAGUAUUGGACAAUGGGCGAAAGCCUGAUCCAGCAAUGCCGCGUGAGUGAUGAAGGCCUUAGGGUUGUAAAGCUCUUUUACCC